RNAcentral lists this ribosomal RNA (468 nucleotides) under uncultured bacterium. Its description in RNAcentral is "partial 16S ribosomal RNA". It matches the Rfam family "Bacterial small subunit ribosomal RNA", at positions 28 to 507 of the family's 1533-position model. The record is from RNAcentral.
GACGAACGCUGGCGGCGUGCUUAACACAUGCAAGUCGAACGGAAAGGCCCUGCUUUUGUGGGUUGCUCGAGUGGCGAACGGGUGAGUAACACGUGAGUAACCUGCCCUUGACUUUGGGAUAACUUCAGGAAACUGGGGCUAAUACCGGAUAGGAGCUCCUGCUGCAUGGUGGGGGUUGGAAAGCUUCGGCGUUUGGGGAUGGACUCGCGGCUUAUCAGCUUGUUGGUGGGGUAGUGGCUUACCAAGGCUUUGACGGGUAGCCGGCCUGAGAGGGUGACCGGCCACAUUGGGACUGAGAUACGGCCCAGACUCCUACGGGAGGCAGCAGUGGGGAAUAUUGCACAAUGGGCGGAAGCCUGAUGCAGCAACGCCGCGUGCGGGAUGACGGCCUUCGGGUUGUAAACCGCUUUCGCCUGUGACGAAGCGUGAGUGACGGUAAUGGGUAAAGAAGCACCGGCUAACUACGUG